AGAUUGAACGCUGGCGGCAUGCCUAACACAUGCAAGUCGAACGGGAGUAGCAAUACUCUAGUGGCGGACGGGUGAGGAAUACGUAGGAAUUUGCCCUUAAGUGGGGGAUAACCCGGGGAAACCCGGAUUAAUACCGCAUGACCUCGAAAGAGCAAAGUGGGGGAUCGCAAGACCUCACGCUUUUGGAGAAGCCUACGUCGGAUUAGCUAGUUGGUGAGGUAAUGGCUCACCAAGGCGACGAUCCGUAACUGGUCUGAGAGGAUGAUCAGUCACACCGGAACUGAGACACGGUCCGGACUCCUACGGGAGGCAGCAGUGGGGAAUAUUGGACAAGUGGCGCAAGCCUGAUCCAGCAAUGCCGCGUGUGUGAAGAAGGCCUUCGGUUGUAAAGCACUUUAAGUUAGGUAAGAAAAACGUACGCGUACUAAC
This 429-nucleotide ribosomal RNA is filed under the name uncultured soil bacterium. RNAcentral's name for it is "bacterial SSU rRNA". It matches the Rfam family "Bacterial small subunit ribosomal RNA", at positions 26 to 466 of the family's 1533-position model. The record is from RNAcentral.